CCCAAAAUGUUGCCCUGAAGUUGAAAGCAUAUGUCUUAUAGGUAAAGGAGACGACCGGCAUGAUUGGCACGAAGACGCUCGCACGGAGAUGCUGAAUAAUGGAGAGCAGUGCGUGAUGCUCCGUACGUGAUACCUCUCUGUAGCAGAUGGGUUUGGGAUACAGCAGCUAUUUACAGAGCGGAGCCCGAAGUCCAGUGAGAGGCGAAAGGGGCGGAGCUUGUGCUACAGGGUGGCCUCACA
Trichomycterus rosablanca is the source of this 240-nucleotide long non-coding RNA. RefSeq lists it as uncharacterized. The record is from RefSeq and is a predicted model, not a curated record. The transcript is spliced from 3 exons. NCBI's taxonomy places the organism in Eukaryota, Metazoa, Chordata, Actinopteri, Siluriformes, Trichomycteridae.